This 120-nucleotide ribosomal RNA is filed under the name Castor canadensis (American beaver). Lineage: Eukaryota; Metazoa; Chordata; Mammalia; Rodentia; Castoridae. The record is from RNAcentral.
GUCUAUGGCCAUAUCACCCGGAAUGCACCCGAUCUCAUCUGAUCUCAGAAGCUAAGCAGGGUCGGGCCUGUUUAGUACUUGGAUGGGAAACAGAUCUUCAGAAGAGACUGCUCAGAGACA